CUGCGUACCUUUUGUAUAAUGGGUCAGCGACUUAUAUUCUGUAGCAAGGUUAACCGUAUAGGGGAGCCGUAGGGAAACCGAGUCUUAACCGGGCGUUAAGUUGCAGGGUAUAGACCCGAAACCCGGUGAUCUAGCCAUGGGCAGGUUGAAGGUUGGGUAACACUAACUGGAGGACCGAACCGACUAAUGUUGAAAAAUUAGCGGAUGACCUGUGGCUGGGGGUGAAAGGCCAAUCAAACCGGGAGAUAGCUGGUUCUCCCCGAAAGCUAUUUAGGUAGCGCCUCGUGAAUUCAUCUCCGGGGGUAGAGCACUGUUUCGGCUAGGGGGCCAUCCCGGCUUACCAACCCGAUGCAAACUGCGAAUACCGGAGAAUGUUAUCACGGGAGACACACGGCGGGUGCUAACGUCCGUCGUGAAGAGGGAAACAACCCAGACCGCCAGCUAAGGUCCCAAAGUCAUGGUUAAGUGGGAAACGAUGUGGGAAGGCCCAGACAGCCAGGAUGUUGGCUUAGAAGCAGCCAUCAUUUAAAGAAAGCGUAAUAGCUCACUGGUCGAGUCGGCCUGCGCGGAAGAUGUAACGGGGCUAAACCAUGCACCGAAGCUGCGGCAGCGAACGUAUCACCCAAGACAACUUUACGGAGUUGACGAUUGACGGAGCGAAGCGACGUCAAAGCGUUCAUUAAAGUCGAGUUGGCUUAGGGAUACGUUCGUUGGGUAGGGGAGCGUUCUGUAAGCCUGUGAAGGUGUGUCGUGAGGCAUGCUGGAGGUAUCAGAAGUGCGAAUGCUGACAUAAGUAACGAUAAAGCGGGUGAAAAGCCCGCUCGCCGGAAGACCAAGGGUUCCUGUCCAACGUUAAUCGGGGCAGGGUGAGUCGACCCCUAAGGCGAGGCCGAAAGGCGUAGUCGAUGGGAAACGGGUUAAUAUUCCCGUACUUGGUGUUACUGCGAAGGGGGGACGGAGAAGGCUAUGUUGGCCGGGCGACGGUUGUCCCGGUUUAAGCGUGUAGGUGUGUGUUCCAGGUAAAUCCGGUUCACUUUAACACUGAGGCGUGACGACGAGGCACUACGGUGCUGAAGCAACAAAUGCCCUGCUUCCAGGAAAAGCCUCUAAGCAUCAGGUAACAC
RNAcentral lists this ribosomal RNA (1124 nucleotides) under Salmonella enterica subsp. enterica serovar Typhimurium. RNAcentral describes it as "partial 23S ribosomal RNA". It matches the Rfam family "Bacterial large subunit ribosomal RNA", at positions 597 to 1637 of the family's 2925-position model. The record is from RNAcentral. Lineage: Bacteria; Pseudomonadati; Pseudomonadota; Gammaproteobacteria; Enterobacterales; Enterobacteriaceae.